GACUACCGGGGUAUCUAAGCCCGUUUGCUACCCUAGCUUUCGCCUCUCAGCGUCAGGUACAGGCCAGGAAGCCGCUUUCGCCACUGGUGUUCUUCCUAAUAUCUGAGCAUUCCACCGCUACACUAGGAAUUCCGCUUCCCUCUCCUGCCCUCUAGUCGCCCAGUUUUGAGCGUCGUUUCUCAGUUAAGCCGAGAAUUGUCACGCCCAACUUGGACAACCGCCUACUUGCCCUUUACGCCCAGUAAAUCCGGAUAACGCUCGCCUCCUACGUUUUACCGCGGCUGCUGGCACGUAGUUAGCCGAGACUUAUUCCUGGGGUACCGUCCGCUCUCGUCCCCCAGAAAAGAGCUUUACGACCCGAAGGCCUUCUUCGCUCACGCGGCGUUGCUGCAUCAGGGUUUCCCCCAUUGUGCAAUAUUCCUUACUGCAGCCCCCCGUAGG
RNAcentral lists this ribosomal RNA (441 nucleotides) under uncultured bacterium. RNAcentral's name for it is "partial 16S ribosomal RNA". The record is from RNAcentral.